UACAGAGGUCCCAAGCGUUGUUCGGAUUCACUGGGCGUAAAGGGUGCGUAGGCGGUCGGGUAAGUCUGAUGUGAAAUCUCACAGCUUAACUGUGAAACUGCAUUGGAUACUAUUCGGCUUGAGAGUUGGAGGGGGGACUGGAAUUCUUGGUGUAGCAGUGAAAUGCGUAGAUAUCAAGAGGAACACCUGUGGCGAAAGCGGCUCACUGGACCACAACUGACGCUGAGGCGCGAAAGCUAGGGGAGCAAACAGG
RNAcentral lists this ribosomal RNA (253 nucleotides) under uncultured bacterium. RNAcentral describes it as "partial 16S ribosomal RNA". It matches the Rfam family "Bacterial small subunit ribosomal RNA", at positions 524 to 776 of the family's 1533-position model. The record is from RNAcentral.